This 469-nucleotide ribosomal RNA is filed under the name Bacillus australimaris. RNAcentral's name for it is "bacterial SSU rRNA". It matches the Rfam family "Bacterial small subunit ribosomal RNA", at positions 17 to 483 of the family's 1533-position model. The record is from RNAcentral. Lineage: Bacteria; Bacillati; Bacillota; Bacilli; Caryophanales; Bacillaceae.
UCCUGGCUCAGGACGAACGCUGGCGGCGUGCCUAAUACAUGCAAGUCGAGCGGACAGAAGGGAGCUUGCUCCCGGAUGUUAGCGGCGGCGGGUGAGUAACACGUGGGUAACCUGCCUGUAAGACUGGGAUAACUCCGGGAAACCGGAGCUAAUACCGGAUAGUUCCUUGAACCGCAUGGUUCAAGGAUGAAAGACGGUUUCGGCUGUCACUUACAAUGGACCCGCGGCGCAUUAGCUAGUUGGUGGGGUAAUGGCUCACCAAGGCGACGAUGCGUAGCCGACCUGAGAGGGUGAUCGGCCACACUGGGACUGAGACACGGCCCAGACUCCUACGGGAGGCAGAGUAGGGAAUCUUCCGCAAUGGACGAAAGUCUGACGGAGCAACGCCGCGUGAGUGAUGAAGGUUUUCGGAUCGUAAAGCUCUGUUGUUAGGGAAGAACAAGUGCGAGAGUAACUGCUCGCACCUGAC